AGAAAAACCAAAUGCUAUGUCAUUUAGCCUGCUAAAGCCGGCUAUAACCCGUUAAAUACCGGCUAUAGCCCGCUAAACGUCGUAGCGGCAGCUCUGCCGCUAAACAUUCUAGCCGGCGAUUUAAAACCUUGCUUGCGGCGCGUGCUCCCAAGCCAAGCGACGGUGGAGGCUCCCGUUGUACGGCGCGCUGCGUGGAGACGGCGGAGGUAGGGAUCCCGUGCGCGCGCGGAGGAGGAAUCGAUUGCCGCCAAAGGCACAGAAGGGCGCGGCGGCGGCGGCGAUGCGAAAUCAGUUAAAGGUAGAUGCCGCUCGGGUGAAGGCGGCUGCAGCUCGGAAGGAUGCGGCGCAGCUGCCGGAGCAGAGGAGCUCGUGCAAGGCGAUGCAUCUGCCGGAGCAGUUGAGGCCCGCGCGGAGGAGGGCCUGUGGGUGGAUGUGGCGCAGCUAAUCCACCAUCCUUGUUCACGGAUGCAAGCUGCUUGUUCAACUCUCAACCAUGGGUUCUUUUCCAAUCUUCAGAUCCUGGGACAUGGUAUUGUCUUCUGCUUCAUUCUUCUGAUGUAUGUCUGCUAGUUCAUUCUUUUCUUCCCUUUACGACAUGGUAUUGUCUCCUGCUUCAUUCUUGAUGCAUGCUUUGGUCAAUAUGUAUGCUGCUUCAAAAUUACGGUUAACAAUUGUUGAGCAUUUCAGUUCAGAAAGGCACUGAACACUGCAAAAUCUGAGUUGGAGGACAAAAUUAUCAACAGAUUUGAAGUUUCAAAGCUUAUAAUGCUUAUAAAGUAGCAUUGUUUGAGACAAGAAAUUCCAAUCCUUUACUUGGAUAAUUCUGAAAUAGAGUUCUUUUUUAGUAUUACUCAUUAGGAUGCACACACAUCCUCCUAAUUGUUCCACAAAAAUUGCACAAGGUGCUAGUUUGUUUUCAUUGUCACUGAAAGUCUGAAACUAACAUGAACACUUCCUCCAGCAUGCUACUGAACUUGUCUGCAUUGGUUAUGAAAGUGAGAUACUGAUGCUCUGACUGACAAGAUUUUUGACAUGUUAAACAAAUGCGUCUGGAAUGCAAAGUUGGCAACUCUAUGUUGACCUGCUAGCAGAAUUAGUGAAUUACAGUUGCAUCAAUGUUAGCAUUUGCUCAGAUGUGUAAAACUAAACAGACUGCAAUGCCUGAAUAUGUAAAUGUUCAGAGUUCAGACCAUGCCUUUGCUGAAACAUACUAGCAAUUGAUGAGGUACAGGACCUCACAUGCCAAUUCACUAAUACUUAGCGCUGUCAAUUGGCAGUGUUCCUAGGCAGCAAGCAUUUGUCGUAUUUUACUAAUAUGAUUAACAUAAGCUUAAAGAUUUAGGUACAAAGUAAUAUUUGUCAAUCAUAUAUAAAAAAUUUAGACAGUAGCGAAGAAGAGCAUAGCUUGGAUAUGAAGUCUGACCAUGCAAGAACAAGGUGAGGCUGCCCUUGGGCAUGUAAUCGAAGACGAGCAGCUUCUCCCUGAGGCGCUCGAAGCCCUCGGAGUCCUUGUAAUGACUGCUAGUUGUUAUCAUGAAUAUUUCAAAUACUUGUCGAAGUUCAGGGAAGAACUCUCAGUAAUGACUGCUAGUUGUUAUCAUGAUUGUUAAUUUGAGCAUCAUGUUUACUGAAUAAAUUUGGGCUAAAGAGCAGAACAUGAUUUAUACAAAAGCUGUCAGAUUGCUUUUGAGGUUAGUUAUUUUCAAAUAAUACUUUUACUGUAGCUGAUCUUAUCUUGCUGAAUUAGUCAUGAUUAUUUCAUUGCAGGUGAGGACAGUUUCAGACAUGGGGAACUAGUCCUUAUUUCUUUUGUUUGAACUGAUGGCUGUUGAUAUGUCGUACCUAAAUUUAUUUUGUAUGAACUGAUGGUUAUUGGUGUGCCUACCUAAAUUUAUUUUGUAUGAACUGAAGGGUUGUAGGCAAGUUUUAUAGGACAACAAUUCGUCCGGCGAUGUUA
Panicum virgatum (switchgrass) is the source of this 1957-nucleotide long non-coding RNA. RefSeq lists it as uncharacterized. The transcript is spliced from 2 exons. NCBI's taxonomy places the organism in Eukaryota, Viridiplantae, Streptophyta, Magnoliopsida, Poales, Poaceae. The record is from RefSeq and is a predicted model, not a curated record.